RNAcentral lists this ribosomal RNA (423 nucleotides) under uncultured bacterium. RNAcentral describes it as "partial 16S ribosomal RNA". It matches the Rfam family "Bacterial small subunit ribosomal RNA", at positions 361 to 776 of the family's 1533-position model. The record is from RNAcentral.
AUUUUGGACAAUGGGGGAAACCCUGAUCCAGCCAUCUCGCGUGUAUGAUGAAGGCCUNNNGGUUGNACAGUACUGUUGGCAGANAAGNAAAGGUAUCCCCUAAUACGGGAUAAUGCUGAUGGUAUCUGCAGAUUAAGCACCGCCAAAAUACGUGGCUGCAGCCGCGGUAAUACGUAGGGUGCAAGCGUUAAUCGGAAUUAUUGGGCGUAAAGCAUGUGUAGGCGGUUCGGAAAGAAAGAUGUGAAAUCCCAGGGCUCAACCUUGGAACUGCAUUUUUAACUGCCGAGCUAGAGUAUGUCAGAGGGGGGUAGAAUUCCACGUGUAGCAGUGAAAUGCGUAGAUAUGUGGAGGAAUACCGAUGGCGAAGGCAGCCCCCUGGGAUAAUACUGACGCUCAGACACGAAAGCGUGGGGAGCAAACAGG